RNAcentral lists this ribosomal RNA (490 nucleotides) under uncultured bacterium. RNAcentral describes it as "partial 16S ribosomal RNA". It matches the Rfam family "Bacterial small subunit ribosomal RNA", at positions 30 to 507 of the family's 1533-position model. The record is from RNAcentral.
AUUGAACGCUGGCGGCAGGCCUAACACAUGCAAGUCGAACGGUAACAGGAAGAAGCUUGCUUCUUUGCUGACGAGUGGCGGACGGGUGAGUAAUGUCUGGGAAACUGCCUGAUGGAGGGGGAUAACUACUGGAAACGGUAGCUAAUACCGCAUAACGUCGCAAGCCCAAAGAGGGGGACCUUCGGGCCCCUUGCCAUCGGAUGUGCCCAGAUGGGAUUAGCUAGUAGGUGGGGUAACGGCUCACCUAGGCGACGAUCCCUAGCUGGUCUGAGAGGAUGACCAGCCACACUGGAACUGAGACACGGUCCAGACUCCUACGGGAGGCAGCAGUGGGGAAUAUUGCACAAUGGGCGCAAGCCUGAUGCAGCCAUGCCGCGUGUAUGAAGAAGGCCUUCGGGUUGUAAAGUACUUUCAGCGGGGAGGAAGGGAGUAAAGUUAAUACCUUUGCUCAUUGACGUUACCCGCAGAAGAAGCACCGGCUAACUCCGUG